This 481-nucleotide long non-coding RNA is filed under the name Homo sapiens (human). RNAcentral's name for it is "HSALNT0318985". The record is from RNAcentral. Lineage: Eukaryota; Metazoa; Chordata; Mammalia; Primates; Hominidae.
UCUCCUGACCUCGUGAUCCGCCCUCCUCGGCCUCCCAAAGUACUGGGAUUACAGGAGUGAGUCACCACGCCCGGCCGGAUUAUGGAUUUUUAAGAGGAAAACCACAGAGGAGUUUUAAUACUUUAUAUCUUUCAAUAAAUUGGUAAAUAUCAUCUAACAUCAAAUUUGUGGGAAUAGCCCUGUUCAAUGAACACCUGGACUAUCCUUUAAUGAUGUCUACAUCAAUGGAAGCCAAGCCACACUGCUAACUGAUGAGAGACCAGCUUGAAAGAGGGAGGACCUGCCAAUUGCCAUCAGCACAACUCCAGAUAUAUGGGAGUCAGGUGAUCAUAAACCAUCCAUUUUCUGCUGAGUCACAGUAGACUGCAACUCCAUGAAUGAGACAAGGAGGUGUCGGUAAAAACAAAACAAAACAAAACAAAGCAAAAACUGCCUGGUGUAACCACAGAAUCUUAAGAAAUAAUAAAUGAUUUUAAUCCAA